AGCCUUCUGUAUCCGUGUUGUGAUUGCAUCAAAUACCAGACUACAAAGGAUGAUGAAACACUUAAGAUGAUUGAAGUG
Molecule: non-coding RNA, 78 nt
Organism: Schistosoma mattheei
Lineage: Eukaryota; Metazoa; Platyhelminthes; Trematoda; Strigeidida; Schistosomatidae
Source: Rfam